GGAGGUUCUUCAACUGGACAAGUAAGAUCUGCUCCUGAGGAGGGGGGUGCUGCCUCUAACAUGAGUCUCUCUGAGGAACAACACACCAGCCAUGGAGCUAAGAGGAUGGGGGGAUCUAGCUCUAACAGGAGGUCACACU
Molecule: long non-coding RNA, 139 nt
Organism: Clupea harengus (Atlantic herring)
Lineage: Eukaryota; Metazoa; Chordata; Actinopteri; Clupeiformes; Clupeidae
Exons: 3
Source: RefSeq, a predicted model, not a curated record